GCCCUCAUAGCUCAGUGGAUAGAGCGCUACCCUCCGGAGGUAGAAGCCCAGGUUCGAGUCCUGGUGGGGGCA
Molecule: transfer RNA, 72 nt
Filed under: Anaerolineae bacterium
Lineage: Bacteria; Bacillati; Chloroflexota; Anaerolineae
Also listed under: 1 other name
Description: tRNA-Arg
Rfam family: tRNA
About the family: Transfer RNA (tRNA) molecules are approximately 80 nucleotides in length. Their secondary structure includes four short double-helical elements and three loops (D, anti-codon, and T loops).
Source: RNAcentral